This 468-nucleotide ribosomal RNA is filed under the name uncultured bacterium. RNAcentral's name for it is "partial 16S ribosomal RNA". It matches the Rfam family "Bacterial small subunit ribosomal RNA", at positions 28 to 507 of the family's 1533-position model. The record is from RNAcentral.
GACGAACGCUGGCGGCGUGCUUAACACAUGCAAGUCGAACGGAAAGGCCCUGCUUUUGUGGGGUGCUCGAGUGGCGAACGGGUGAGUAACACGUGAGUAACCUGCCCUUGACUGUGGGAUAACUUCAGGAAACUGGGGCUAAUACCGGAUAGGAGCUCCUGCUGCAUGGUGGGGGUUGGAAAGUUUCGGCGGUUGGGGAUGGACUCGCGGCUUAUCAGCUUGUUGGGGGGGUAGUGGCUUACCAGGGCUUUGACGGGUAGCCGGCCUGAGAGGGUUGACGGCCACCUUGGGACUGAGAUACGGCCCAGAAUCGUACGGGCGGCAGAAGUGGGGAAUAUUGCACAAUGGGCGGAAGCCUGAUGCAGCAACGCCGCGUGCGGGAUGACGGCCUUCGGGUUGUAAACCGCUUUCGACUGUGACGAAGCGUGAGUGACGGUAAUGGGUAAAGAAGCACCGGCUAACUACGUG